UUCUUAAAGAUUGAAUUUUAAGUAAUUUCUGCUCAAUGAAUUGUUAAAUAGCUGCGGAUAGCACUAAGGUAGCAUAAUAAAUUGUUCAUUAAUUGUGGACUGGAAUGAAAGAAAUAAUGGAUAGAAUCUUUCUUUGACUUAUUAAGUUUAAAUUAAAAUUUUAGUAAAAAUGCUAGAAUAAUUUUUAGGGACGAGAAGACCCUAUAAAGUUUUAUACGUUGGAUUUAAAAUGAGAAUGUAUUUUAUUGGGGCAAUACUCUAAAAAUUAAUUUAGAGAAUUUUUUGUAUUAUUUUAUAUAUUGAGGAGCCAUAAAUUAUGAUUGUUUGAUUAAAUUACUUUAGGGAUAACAGCAUAAUUUAAAUUGGAAAGUUCAAAUUGAAAAUUUAGUUUGUGACCUCGAUGUUGAAUUAAUAUAUCUAUUUGGCGCAGGAGCUAAAAAGUUAGUCAGUCUGUUCGACUGUUAAAAUAUUACG
Molecule: ribosomal RNA, 474 nt
Filed under: Stylocellus sp. Sumatra 3
Lineage: Eukaryota; Metazoa; Arthropoda; Arachnida; Opiliones; Stylocellidae
Description: partial 16S ribosomal RNA
Rfam family: Bacterial large subunit ribosomal RNA
Source: RNAcentral